UAGUCAUAUGCUUGUCUCAAAGAUUAAGCCAUGCAUGUGUAAGUAUAAGUAUUAUACGGCGAAACUGCGAAUGGCUCAUUAAAUCAGUUAUAAUUUAUUUGAUAAUCGAAAGUUACAUGGAUAACCGUGACAAAUUACAGCUAAUACAUGCAGUCAGACCUGUCAAAGGGUCGUAAUUAUUAGUACUAACCAAUCCCGAAAGGGAUGUGAUGAUUCAUAGUAAUCGAACGAAUCGCAUUUAUAUGUGAUAAGUCAUUCAAGUUUCUGCCCUAUCAGCUUUGGAUGGUAGUGUAUUGGACUACCAUGGCAGUCACGGGUAACGGAGAAUUAGGGUUCGAUUCCGGAGAGGGAGCCUGAGAAACGGCUACCACAUCUACGGAAGGCAGCAGGCGCGAAAAUUGCCCAAUCCUGACACGGGGAGGCAGUGACAAGAAAUAACAACUCUAGGUUUUCUUAGAAGUGUAAUGAGGAUAAUUUACAAAUCUUACCGAAUGCAAUUGGAGGGCAAGUCUGGUGCCAGCAGCCGCGGUAAUUCCAGCUCCAAUAGCGUAUAUUAAAGUUGUUGCAGUUAAAAAGCUCGUAGUUGAAAUUCUGGGCGUCCGGGUCUCCAGUCUUUAGGCGGGGAUGCCGGCGUUCAUCCGCUUGCAAGCAUACGUUCGCCCUUAACCAGGCGGCUAUGUGAGUAAGCAUUUUACCUUGAGAAAAACAGAGUGUUCCAGGCAGGUUUGUCCGGGAUGCAUUAGCAUGGAAUAAUAGAACAUGACUGAAGUCAAGUUAUUGGUUGUAGACUUUAGUAAUGAUUAAUAGGAACAGUCGGGGGCAUUCGUACUCAGCAGUCAGAGGUGAAAUUCUAAGAUUUGCUGAAGACGAACUAAUGCGAAAGCAUUUGCCAAGGAUGUUUUCAUUAAUCAAGAACGAAAGUUAGGGGAUCAAAGACGAUCAGAUACCGUCCUAGUCUUAACUAUAAACGAUACCGACUCGGAUUCAGAUGAAUCAAAAUGUUCAUUUGGGACCGUAGGAGAAAUCAAAGUCUUUGGGUUCUGGGGGGAGUAUGGUCGCAAGGCUGAAACUUAAAGGAAUUGACGGUUUUGCACCACCAUGGAGUGGAGUUUGCGGCUUAAUUUGACUCAACACUGGGAAACUCAUCAGGGCAAGAAGAUUUUAGGAUUGACAGAUUGAGAGUUCUUUCUUGAUUGGUCUAGUGGUGGUGCAUGGCCGUUCUUAGUUGGUGGAGUGAUUUGUCUGGUUAAUUCCGUUAACGAACGAGACCUUAACCUACUAACUAGUGACGAGAUCUCAAAUCUCGAGCACUUCUUAGAGGGACUAUGCGUGGUAAUCGCAUGGAAGUUUGAGGCAAUAACAGGUCUGUGAUGCCCUUAGAUGUCCUGAGCUGCACGCGUACUACAAUGGCACUUUCAGCGAGUUUUUCCUGAUCCGAAAGGAUUUGGGUAAUCUGUUUAGGGAGUGCCGUGCUUGGGAUAGAUCUUUGUAAUUGUGGAUCUUGAACUAGGAAUUCCUAGUAAGCACGAUUCAUCAAAUCGUGCUGAUUACGUCCCUGCAAAAUGUACACACCGCCCGUCGCUUUUACCGAUGAGUGUUCAGGUGAGUCUUCUUGAUAGCUUCGCAGCUAAAAAUUAAACAAAUCUUAGCACUUAGAGGAAAAAGAAGUCGUAACAAGGUUUCCGUAG
Molecule: ribosomal RNA, 1688 nt
Filed under: uncultured eukaryote
Lineage: Eukaryota
Description: SSU rRNA
Rfam family: Eukaryotic small subunit ribosomal RNA
Source: RNAcentral